GACGAACGCUGGCGGCGUGCUUAACACAUGCAAGUCGAACGGAAAGGCCUGCUUUCCCUUGUGGAUUGCGGGUACUCGAGUGGCGAACGGGUGAGUAACACGUGAGUGAUCUGCCCCCAACUUGGGUAUAAGCCUGGGAAACUGGGUCUAAUUCCCGAUAGGACUGCAGGGUGGUGCCUGUGGUGGAAAACGAUUUUCUAGUGGUUGGGGAUGAGCUCGCGGCCUAUCAGCUUGUUGGUGGGGUAAUGGCCUACCAAGGCGGCGACGGGUAGCCGGCCUGGGAGGGUGGACGGCCACAUUGGGACUGAGAUACGGCCCAGACUACUACGGGAGGCAGCAGUGGGGAAUAUUGCACAAUGGGCGGAAGCCUGAUGCAGCGACGCCGCGUGGGGGAUGACGGCCUUCGGGUUGUAAACUCCUUUCGACCGCGAGGAAGCCACCUGGUUGGAAGGGUGGUGACGGUAGUGGUAGAAGAAGCACCGGCUAACUACGUG
Molecule: ribosomal RNA, 494 nt
Filed under: uncultured bacterium
Lineage: Bacteria
Description: partial 16S ribosomal RNA
Rfam family: Bacterial small subunit ribosomal RNA
Source: RNAcentral